Molecule: ribosomal RNA, 462 nt
Filed under: uncultured bacterium
Lineage: Bacteria
Description: partial 16S ribosomal RNA
Rfam family: Bacterial small subunit ribosomal RNA
Source: RNAcentral
GACGAACGCUGGCGGCGUGCUUAACACAUGCAAGUCGAGCGGAAAGGCCCUUCGGGGUACUCGAGCGGCGAACGGGUGAGUAACACGUGAGUAACCUGCCCUAGGCUUUGGGAUAACCCCGGGAAACCGGGGCUAAUACCGGAUAUGAACUGGUGCCGCCCGGCGUUGGGGGGAAAGGUUUUUCGGCCUGGGAUGGGCUCGCGGCCUAUCAGCUUGUUGGUGGGGUGAUGGCCUACCAAGGCGGAGACGGGUAGCCGGCCUGAGAGGGCGACCGGCCACACUGGGACUGAGACACGGCCCAGACUCCUACGGGAGGCAGCAGGGGGGAAUAUUGCACAAUGGGCGGAAGCCUGAUGCAGCGACGCCGUGUGAGGGAUGAAGGCCUUCGGGUUGUAAACCUCUUUCAGCAGGGACGAAGCGUGAGUGACGGUACCUGCAGAAGAAGCGCCGGCCAACUACGUG